GUGAGGAAUAUUGCGCAAUGGAGGCAACUCUGACGCAGCCAUGCCGCGUGCAGGAAGAAGGCGCUACGCGUUGUAAACUGCUUUUAACCGGGAAGAAACCCCAGGACGUGUCCUGGGUUUACGGUACCGGAGGAAUAAGCACCGGCUAACUUCGUGCCAGCAGCCGCGGUACUACGAAGGGUGCAAGCGUUAUCCGGAUUCAUUGGGUGUAAAGGGUGCGUAGGCGGAGCGUUAAGUCAGUGGUGAAAUCCUGCAGCUUAACUGUAGACUUGCCAUUGAUACUGGCGCGCUUGAGUGCGCUUGAAGUGGGCGGAAUGUGCCGUGUAGCGGUGAAAUGCUUAGAUAUGGCACAGAACACCAAUUGCGAAGGCAGCUCACUAAGGCGAUACUGACGCUGAGGCACGAAAGCGUGGGGAUCGAACAGGAUUAGAUACCCGAGUAGUCC
RNAcentral lists this ribosomal RNA (445 nucleotides) under uncultured bacterium. Its description in RNAcentral is "partial 16S ribosomal RNA". It matches the Rfam family "Bacterial small subunit ribosomal RNA", at positions 354 to 796 of the family's 1533-position model. The record is from RNAcentral.